UCGUAACAAGGUCUCCGUUGGUGAACCAGCGGAGGGAUCAUUACCGAGUUUACAACUCCCAAACCCCUGUGAACAUACCACUUGUUGCCUCGGCGGAUCAGCCCGCUCCCGGUAAAACGGGACGGCCCGCCAGAGGACCCCUAAACUCUGUUUCUAUAUGUAACUUCUGAGUAAAACCAUAAAUAAAUCAAAACUUUCAACAACGGAUCUCUUGGUUCUGGCAUCGAUGAAGAACGCAGCAAAAUGCGAUAAGUAAUGUGAAUUGCAGAAUUCAGUGAAUCAUCGAAUCUUUGAACGCACAUUGCGCCCGCCAGUAUUCUGGCGGGCAUGCCUGUUCGAGCGUCAUUUCAACCCUCAAGCACAGCUUGGUGUUGGGACUCGCGUUAAUUCGCGUUCCCCAAAUUGAUUGGCGGUCACGUCGAGCUUCCAUAGCGUAGUAGUAAAACCCUCGUUACUGGUAAUCGUCGCGGCCACGCCGUUAAACCCCAACUUCUGAAUGUUGACCUCGGAUCAGGUAGGAAUACCCGCUGAACUUAAGCAUA
RNAcentral lists this ribosomal RNA (542 nucleotides) under Fusarium oxysporum. RNAcentral describes it as "eukaryotic LSU rRNA". The stretch from base 192 to 345 matches the Rfam family "5.8S ribosomal RNA". Lineage: Eukaryota; Fungi; Ascomycota; Sordariomycetes; Hypocreales; Nectriaceae. The record is from RNAcentral.